This 802-nucleotide ribosomal RNA is filed under the name Enterococcus sp. Its description in RNAcentral is "bacterial SSU rRNA". It matches the Rfam family "Bacterial small subunit ribosomal RNA", at positions 84 to 871 of the family's 1533-position model. Lineage: Bacteria; Bacillati; Bacillota; Bacilli; Lactobacillales; Enterococcaceae. The record is from RNAcentral.
GAGGGAAAAGAGUGGCGAACGGGUGAGUAACACGUGGGUAACCUGCCCAUCAGAAGGGGAUAACACUUGGAAACAGGUGCUAAUACCGUAUAACACUAUUUUCCGCAUGGAAGAAAGUUGAAAGGCGCUUUUGCGUCACUGAUGGAUGGACCCGCGGUGCAUUAGCUAGUUGGUGAGGUAACGGCUCACCAAGGCAACGAUGCAUAGCCGACCUGAGAGGGUGAUCGGCCACACUGGGACUGAGACACGGCCCAGACUCCUACGGGAGGCAGCAGUAGGGAAUCUUCGGCAAUGGACGAAAGUCUGACCGAGCAACGCCGCGUGAGUGAAGAAGGUUUUCGGAUCGUAAAACUCUGUUGUUAGAGAAGAACAAGGAUGAGAGUAAAACGUUCAUCCCUUGACGGUAUCUAACCAGAAAGCCACGGCUAACUACGUGCCAGCAGCCGCGGUAAUACGUAGGUGGCAAGCGUUGUCCGGAUUUAUUGGGCGUAAAGCGAGCGCAGGCGGUUUCUUAAGUCUGAUGUGAAAGCCCCCGGCUCAUCCGGGGAGGGUCAUUGGAAACUGGGAGACUUGAGUGCAGAAGAGGAGAGUGGAAUUCCAGGUGUAGCGGUGAAAUGCGUAGAUAUAUGGAGGAACACCAGUGGCGAACGCGGCUCUCUGGUCUGUAACUGACGCUGAGGCUCGAAAGCGUGGGGAGCGAACAGGAUUAGAUACCCUGGUAGUCCACGCCGUAAACGAUGAGUGCUAAGUGUUGGAAGGGUUUCCGCCCUUCAGUGCUGCAGCAAAAGCAUUAAGGACUCCG